This 325-nucleotide ribosomal RNA is filed under the name uncultured bacterium. Its description in RNAcentral is "bacterial SSU rRNA". It matches the Rfam family "Bacterial small subunit ribosomal RNA", at positions 29 to 352 of the family's 1533-position model. The record is from RNAcentral.
ACGAACGCUGGCGGCGUGCUUAACACAUGCAAGUCGAGCGGUAAGGCCCUCGGGUACGACGAGCGGCGAACGGGUGAGUAACACGUGGGUGGACCUGCCUUUAGUCUCUGGGAGUAAGACCUGGGAAACGUAGGGUCUAAUACCGGAUAUGACCUCAUGACGCAUGUUGUGGGGUGGAAAGCCUUGUGCGGCUAGAGAUGGGCCCGCGGCCUAUCAGCUUGUUGGUGGGGUGAUGGCCUACCAAGGCGACGACGGGUAGCCGGCCUGAGAGGGCGACCGGCCACACUGGGACUGAGACACGGCCCAGACUCCUACGGGAGGCAGC